This 1367-nucleotide ribosomal RNA is filed under the name Stenotrophomonas maltophilia. RNAcentral describes it as "partial 23S ribosomal RNA". It matches the Rfam family "Bacterial large subunit ribosomal RNA", at positions 1577 to 2925 of the family's 2925-position model. The record is from RNAcentral. Lineage: Bacteria; Pseudomonadati; Pseudomonadota; Gammaproteobacteria; Lysobacterales; Lysobacteraceae.
CCUUUAUGGCAAAGUCACUGAUACCACGCUUCCAGGAAAAGCUCCUAAGCUUCAGCUUACGCAGACCGUACCGUAAACCGACACAGGUGGGUAGGAUGAGAAUUCUCAGGCGCUUGAGAGAACUCGGGUGAAGGAACUAGGCAACAUGGCACCGUAACUUCGGGAGAAGGUGCACCCUUUUUGGUGGCUCGUGCGAGCUAUAGCUGAAGAGGGUCGCAGUAACCAGGCCGCUGCGACUGUUUAUCAAAAACACAGCACUCUGCAAACACGAAAGUGGACGUAUAGGGUGUGACGCCUGCCCGGUGCUGGAAGGUUAAUUGAUGGGGUCAGCCGCAAGGCGAAGCUCUUGAUCGAAGCCCCAGUAAACGGCGGCCGUAACUAUAACGGUCCUAAGGUAGCGAAAUUCCUUGUCGGGUAAGUUCCGACCUGCACGAAUGGCGUAACGACAGCGGCGCUGUCUCCACCCGAGACUCAGUGAAAUUGAAAUCGCUGUGAAGAUGCAGCGUUCCCGUGGCAAGACGGAAAGACCCCGUGAACCUUUACUAUAGCUUUACACUGAACGUUGAGUUCGUCUGUGUAGGAUAGGUGGGAGGCUAUGAAACUGUGGCGCUAGCUGCAGUGGAGCCAUCCUUGAAAUACCACCCUGUCGUGCUUGACGUUCUAACCUGGGCCCAUUAUCUGGGUCGGGGACCGUGUAUGGUGGGUAGUUUGACUGGGGCGGUCUCCUCCUAAAGAGUAACGGAGGAGCUCGAAGGUACGCUCAGCGCGGUCGGACAUCGCGCACUGUGUGCAAAGGCAUAAGCGUGCUUGACUGCAAGAUCGACGGAUCAAGCAGGUAGGAAACUAGGACUUAGUGAUCCGGUGGUUCUGUAUGGAAGGGCCAUCGCUCAACGGAUAAAAGGUACUCCGGGGAUAACAGGCUGAUACCGCCCAAGAGUUCAUAUCGACGGCGGUGUUUGGCACCUCGAUGUCGGCUCAUCACAUCCUGGGGCUGUAGUCGGUCCCAAGGGUAUGGCUGUUCGCCAUUUAAAGUGGUACGCGAGCUGGGUUCAGAACGUCGUGAGACAGUUCGGUCCCUAUCUGCCAUGGGCGUUGGAGAUUUGAGAGGGGCUGCUCCUAGUACGAGAGGACCGGAGUGGACGAACCUCUGGUGUUCCGGUUGUCACGCCAGUGGCAUUGCCGGGUAGCUAUGUUCGGAAGCGAUAACCGCUGAAAGCAUCUAAGCGGGAAGCGCGCCUCAAGAUGAGAUCUCCCGGGGCACAAGCCCCCUGAAGGAACCAUGUAGACUACGUGGUUGAUAGGUCAGGUGUGUAAGUACAGCAAUGUAUUGAGCUAACUGAUACUAAUGAUCCGAGAGGCUUGACCAU